Molecule: ribosomal RNA, 1074 nt
Filed under: Triticum aestivum (bread wheat)
Lineage: Eukaryota; Viridiplantae; Streptophyta; Magnoliopsida; Poales; Poaceae
Description: partial small subunit ribosomal RNA
Source: RNAcentral
GUCUUUGCCAUCCUAUUGCUCAACGCUGAUCUAGGGUCGUGCAGCUGCUUCAAACGCAUCUUCACCUUCGGCGACUCCAUCACUGAUGCCGGCAACUUCGCGUACACCGGUCGUAACAAUAAGAAUCCGGGUCCACCUUCGGUGCCCCCUUAUGGAGAGACCUACUUCCACCAUCCCACGGGACGUGCCUCCGACGGGCGUCUCAUCGUCGACUUCUACGCGCAAGCGUUGGGCCUGCCGCUGCUGCCGCCGAGCCUGCCCAAGGAGAACACGGGCCAGUUCCCGGCCGGCGCCAACUUGGCCUUGUACGGUGCCACGGCGCUAAACCCGAACUUCUUCAAGAGGUAUAAAUUCGGCGUGCCGUUUUCUUGGAGCCUCGAUGAUCAGCUGGCUACAUUCAAGAAAGUGCUGGCACGGAUUGCUCCGGGAGAUGCUGCCACCAAGAGCCUACUGAGCGAGUCGCUGAUCGUGUUUGGUGAGAUCGGCGGCAACGACUACAACUUCUGGUUCUUCGCAGGACACGGCGAUGACACACACACGCCCGAGCAGUACAUGCCCGACGUGAUUGCCCGCAUAGGCGACGGCGUCCAGGAGGUGAUCAACCUCGGUGCCAAGACGGUCCUUGUCCCGGGGAACUUCCCCAUCGGGUGUGUGCCGGCGUACCUGAGUGGUAACAAGAGCAACAAGUCGGCGGACUACGAUCAGUACCACUGCCUCAAGCGGUUCAACGACUUCUCCCAAAUGCAUAAUCAGUUGCUGAAGCAGGAGGUCGGCAAGCUCAAGUCGCUCAACGCCGACGUGAAGAUCAUCUACGCCGACUACUAUGGUGCUUUCAUGGAGUUCGUCAAGAAUCCCAGUAGGUAUGGCAUUGACGACCCUCUGGUGGCGUGCUGUGGUGGCAAUGGCCCCUACGGCACCGGCCAUACGUGCAACCAGACGGCGAGGCUUUGCCCCGACCCGUCCAGGUUCGCCAGCUGGGACCAGGUCCACAUGACAGAGAAGGCGUACAACGUCAUUGCCAAUGGGGUGCUCAACGGCCCGUACGCCGACACACCGUUGCUCCACGUUUGCUAG